RNAcentral lists this ribosomal RNA (279 nucleotides) under uncultured bacterium. Its description in RNAcentral is "partial 16S ribosomal RNA". It matches the Rfam family "Bacterial small subunit ribosomal RNA", at positions 506 to 784 of the family's 1533-position model. The record is from RNAcentral.
UGCCAGCAGCCGCGGUAAUACGGAGGGGGCAAGCGUUGUUCGGAAUUACUGGGCGUAAAGGGCGCGUAGGCGGAAGGACAAGUUAGGGGUGAAAGGCCUGGGCUCAACCUGGGAACUGCCUCUAAAACUGUUUUUCUAGAGUCCGGAAGAGGAUGGCGGAAUUCCCAGUGUAGAGGUGAAAUUCGUAGAUAUUGGGAAGAACACCAGAGGCGAAGGCGGCCAUCUGGUCCGGAACUGACGCUGAGGCGCGAAAGCGUGGGGAGCAAACAGGAUUAGAUA